UCAUAUAAAUUAUGUAAAUAAUUUGUUAUUAGGAAUUGAGCUCCUAUACUUUUAAAAGUACCAAGUCAUUGGUGCUUGUAAGUUUUCGGCCCUUGGAUUACAGGAUGUGUGGUUAGGAUAAUGUGGGCCCCCCUAGGGUUGAGUGGGUGGUUGGUUGAAUAGUAUAAUCUAACGGAUGAAAAUGAUCGAAGACGUAGAUCUAACGGUAAAAAAUUUACAAGCACCAAAUACUUGGUACUUUUACAAGCUCUAUAGCCGGACUCUAUAUAUAUAUAUAUAUAUCAUAUAUAUAUAAAAGCACGCAUUUCAAAUUUCGGUCUGUCGGCAGACCCUUUUUUGGCGGAAAAAAAAAAUUGAUUCCUCUUUCCUUACGUAAAAUAAAUAAUAGAAUUAAAAAAAUUUUUAUUUCCUCUUUAUUUCUACAACAUAAAAAAAUUUAUGCUUAUCCAAAUUUUUACCAAUCUGAGAAUAUCUAUUGUGAAUUUUUAUUUAAUUCGUUUUUAUCUCUAACUAUAAUAUAAUAUCUAUACUAUCUAGCAUGUAUUUCAAAUUUCAAUAUGUCGGUAGACCCAUUUUUAGGCGGAAAAAAAAUUUGAUUCCUCUUUCAAUCGUAAAAUAAAUAACAUAAUAAAACAAACUUUUAAUUUAUCUUUACCUCUAAAAUAAAAAAAAAUAUACUUAUUCAAAUUUUGCCAACUGAAAGACAUCUAUUGUUAAUCUAUAUUUUAAUUCAAAAUUUGUUUAAUUUUUUUUAUCUCUAAAAUAGAAAUAAAUUCAUGCUUAUCCAAAUUUUUGCUAGAAUAUCAAUAUGCUUUAUCCAUCUAUUUUACAUUAAAAUUUAAAUUUGAGUUUAAAUCAUGAAUUAAAUUUAAUUUUUGAUUUUGGCUAUCAAAUCUAUCAAUCUAUUUUAUAUUAAAAUUUAAAAUUGAUAUUAUAGAUAUUUUUUAAUAAAAUAUAACAUAUAAAUUUAUAUAAUAUUUAAUUCUAAACUUUUGAAUAAAUAUUAUUUACAAAUUUUUAUUGAUUUAAAAUAAAUUAAAAUAAUUGUUACGUGCAUUUGCACGUACGCUCAACUAGUAUAUAUAAAAGCACGUAUUUCAAAUUUGGGUCUGUCAACAGACCCAUUUUUUAGCGGACAAAAUAUUGAUUUCUCUUUCCGUACGUAAAAUAAAUAACGUAAUGAAACAAAUUUUUCAUUUCUGUUAAUCUUUAAAAUAGAAAAAAAUAUAUUUAUCCAAAUUUUUGCCAACUGAAAGAUAUCUACUGUGAAUCUAUAUUAUUUAAUUUUUUAUCUCUAAAAUAGAAAAAUAUUAUGCUUAUCCAAAUUUUUGCCAGAAUAUCUACAGUAAAUCUAUAUUUCAAUUCAAAAUUUAAAAUUAAUUUAAAAUUUAAAAUUUUGGGACUAUCAAUAUAUUACAAUGCAAAUAAUUUAAAAGAUAGAUUGGUUGAUAAAUUUAUCAAUCAUAUUUUUGAAUUAAUAUGAUGUACAAAUUUAUGAUCAAUUUGUAAAAAAUUAUCUCAAAUAAGAACGAACGAUUAUGACUAAUUUGUUAAAAAAAAAUAUUUAUACUUAUCUAUAACUUCAAUUCUAUGAAUGAGUAUGAUCAAUUGGUUAAAAAUAUUAAAAAUAAAAAUGAAAAUCUGUUAAAAAAAGCACUUAUAUCUAUUCAUUUUACAUUAAAAUUUAAAUUUGAGUUCAAAUCGUGAAUUAAAUUUAAUUUUAAAAAUAUAGAAAAAUAUUCAAUGUAUAUCUAUAUCUAUCCUAUAUUUAAAUUUUAUAAAAUAAAAAUAUAUAUAUAAUUAUUGUUGACAGCAACUAUUUAAAUUUGAGUUAGAAUAUAUAUAACAGGUAUUUUCUAAUAGUACAUAAUAAAUAAAUUUAUUUUUAAAAAAUAUUAUAAAUUUUUGAAUAAAUAUGAUGUACAAUUUCAUAUUAAUUUAAAAUAAUUAUUAAAUAAUUAAUUGUUA
This 1968-nucleotide long non-coding RNA is filed under the name Ananas comosus (pineapple). Its description in RNAcentral is "long non-coding RNA (ACOM_LNC013722)". The record is from RNAcentral. Lineage: Eukaryota; Viridiplantae; Streptophyta; Magnoliopsida; Poales; Bromeliaceae.